GAGAGUUGAAAGCAUAGCUUAUUUAAUUUUUAUACAUUUUUUUCUCAUUUUUUGCAACUUUUUUCUUAUUUUUUUUCGCCCUUUUUCUUAUUUUUUUCUCAUUUUUUUUUUUAAAUUGUCCUUUUGGGAUUUUAUUUUUUUAUUUUCCUUUUGCAUAGGGGGUGGGGGGUGGGCGGGGGGGGGGGGAAGAGAAAAGGAACGAAAACCAGAGCCGGCUUUCGGAUAAUGGUACAUUUAAAAUAAAAAACAAGGAAGAAAAGUGCAUUGGCUAAAAAAAAAACAAAAAACAGUACGCGUAUGACGAAUGCUAGAAUCAAAUAUUGUGAAAAGCACUGGAGAAAAGCAAGCCUGUGUGUGCAUGUGAGUGAAUGGGGAGGCCAUGGUGAGCCCGGCUGAAAUGAGAGAGGGAUGAAUUGCAGAUUGCUGUGUUGGCGGACCGAGAUCUGCGUUGCAGCUGAUUAUUUCGUUCCCUCGGGUACGUCUACGCUGUAUAGCGACACCUCCACACAAACCCCAACCGCCCAACGAACCUUGGGAACUGUAGUUUAGCCGGGCGCCUGGGAACUGUGGGUUGAUGCUCCCUGCUUGCAGAAUGACAGGGCCGGGCUCGAAAGUUCGUUGCACUCAGAGUAGACCCCUUGAAGAACGAAAGGAUGGGCUUGACACCAAGGGUUCCAGAUGCAACUUUCCAACACAUCUACUCUGAGUCGGGUUCUGUGCAACCCACCGUUCCCAGCAGAGAAAGGCCGGCCGCUAAACCAGUUUAAGGCUGCGGUGUAGACAGGACGCCCCUGAGGCCAGAUCCAUUUCCUCUUUGGCCGGGAAACGGUCUCAGUUCACUCUUCCCGGCGUGGACAACACUGCGAAUACGUGUGUUAACUUAGCAAGCAGCAAGCGAGAGAGUAAACUAUUAUUGCGACAUCUGUAAAAUAUAAACGGCAGAAGUGUGUUUGCGCGUCACCGUCAGGGGAAGAAAGCGAACUUCCGGUCAGAUAUACGGAAAAGAAGGGAUCAGGGGAAAUAAAAGAUUGAAGGAAAUGAGAAUCGACGCCAGCUGGAUCCUGGCCCAACUCUGAGAAACAUUCUUGCCUCGGUUAUCCCUCCACCCCACCCCAAUGUUCCCUUCCUCUUCCUCCUCCUCCUCUUCCAGACUACGCAAUGACAACAGGGAACAUGAACACAAAAGGAUGAAACUUCACAAACGGAAAAGUGUGGCUCAAGGUCUUGGGGAUGGCGACUUCCCAGCUGUGCAGUGCUGUCAGAGAAAGCGGUACAGGCCGAUAAAUUGGUCAAGUCUUGGUUUCCUCUUAGUUUCUCACUCCCCCUAUCUUAAAUCCAGUCUGCUUGGUUCGAUUCCGGCAUCUGUUUGCUUUAAAAAAACCCGCAGAAAAAUCCGCUCCCGUUAAUAUACAGUGGUACCUCGGUUUACAAACUUAAUCCGUUCCAGAAGUCCGUUCUUAAACCGAAACCGUUCUUAAACUGAGGAGCAGUUUCCCUAAUGAGGCCUCCCGCCGCCGGUGCCCUUCCACUGUUCGGAUUCCGUUCUUAGACCAAGGUAAAGUUCUCAAACCAAGACACUAUUUCUGGUUUUGCGGAGUCUGUAAACCAAAUCGUUCUUAAACCGGACUGCUCUUAAACCAAGGUACCCCUGUAGUUGCUUUGUAGGUAAUUUUGCCUCAACCAUGCAUUUUCCCCCUAACAGACAAUUGAUUGGAAUAUAGUGCAUUAUAUCUACAGGAUUUCCCUGGGAUUCCAAUGACGGAAUUAGUAGCUCAACAACUUGAAAUACAGCAACGUUUGCAGGGCGGCGUUUGCAGAACCGCACUGCAAAGUUUGCGGAUGCUGGGAUUUCGAAGGACCCCAGGAUGUUGGGCUGAUCGCAUUGAAAAGCGAACCAAAUUAAUUCCCUUCCCUGUCCCUUCGACGGCUGCAAAUCACAUCCGUGUCAAAUCGUUGUUUUAUUUGUAGUCAAGGACAGUUAAUAACUCUUUCAUUUGUAUAGGUGCGAUUUCUUAGGAUGCGUUUUCUGUAGUCAGCCAUCUAGCUAUAGCUGGAUCUGACUGCAUUUGAUUCCUUUGCUUGUGGAAAGUUUCUGCAAGUUUUCCUGAAUCAGACUGAACUCGUAAUAGGGGCGAGUGGGCGUGCCAACCAACCUAGCCCCGCCCACCUGGCUCCUCCCCUCAACAAGCCCCGCCCACUUGAUCUACCCCUCGGCCAAUCCUGACAGCACUGCAUCAGCCAGGAGGGAAGUAGAAUGAGGGGGGCCAAAUCUCUCCUUCCAGUAUUGAAUUUGGGGCCCUUUCAUACCAGUGUGUGUGGGGAUAAUAAUAUAGCAACGCCACAGAUUUAAAAGAGCAAAAAUUACCCGGGGUAAAUAGGUGAUUAGGGCUCAAGGAAACACAAUCCAGCAGUAAAUUUCAUAGGCACAGCAUAAAUUAUAUUUUUGGUAUUCCAGAAUGCUGCUGGCUUUUGUUUCCUUGGCGCGAGUAUACAGUUAUUGUCCUUGCCGUAUUAUUGUCCGGCGACAGGUUAUGGGACCAGAAAAUCACAGCGCACGCCACAACCUUGUAGCUUCAAGACAGGACAGGGAAGCCUGUGUGUGUUAGCAGAAAGGGCGAUGCCAGGAAAAGCAAACAAACCACGACUGAUCCCAAUAAAAACCUUAUUUCCCAAGGCAGCCCCCACAAAUAACAACUUCCCCCAAACGCUCAGGGUUCGGGGAAACGGAUGCAGCGAUCGACAGAGCGGUUAAGCAGCCGCUCCUCCGACUGGCGUCGGGGGGCGAAUGUCACGCCCACGCUUAAUCCGGUUUCAAUCCGGAUUUCGACCGCGAUGGCGGCACCUCCCUCCCGCUCCCACGUCUUUUGUUCAGCGUCCUCAGCUAAACCGGAUUCAGAGCGGUUCCGUCAGAGACGGAAAAGGAGGGUUUCCACGCGCAGGCUGAAUCAGUUCGGAAGCGGCUCGUUUUGCAAGAAAGCUGGGAGAAAUCUGGGGAUAAGGCUCUUCUAGGUCUCUUCUGAAAUAAACUGGGGGGGGGGGCCAGAAGCUGGGGGUUGUUGCUGGAACAUAGUCUCAUCCUACAAGCCGUCGUCAAACGGCAGCUUCCAUCAGCACGCCAAUAUUUUUCCGGGGAACGCUUACAGUGUCUCCCCCUGCUACAACACCAUCUCAGACCUUUUGAGGACAACGGAAAACCCUAAAUCGACUCAAAACCCACCGCUUCUUAAUUUUCCCUCGGGGCAACCCCUCUCCCCCACCAUCUUGUGGGGGGGAGCGCCCCCACCUCAAAUCCACAAAUGUGCAAGUUAAAAGAAGCUGGUGUUUGUGUGUGUGUGUUUUCCUUUCCAAAACAAAAAAGAGAGAAGCAGCAAUUUAAUAAAAUUAUAUUGCAAAAGAAGUUUUCUUUUUCUUUUUAAAAAAGAUAUAGAUAUAUAUACACAGUGCUCCCCACCCCGGCCAAAUUGCAAGUUAUCCUGGUUUUCAAGGAAGGAUUGUCAGUUUAGACACUCAUGCCCUUUGACCCUCCGGCCAGACCCAUUUAAAAGAAAGAAAAGGGGGAGAAGGGGGAAAGACCUAUCGCUUUAACGAAAUCGCCUUGUCGGGGGCCGGGAAGCGAUUUUGGGUGGGAGGGUGGAGACACCCAGGGAGACGCGUCGGACGCGAGUCGCCGCGUCACCCAGGCGCCAAGAACGCCCCCUUUCCGGCAUAGCACCAUAAAGGUAAAUACAAUAUUCUGUACAUGAUUUCUCUGCCCCCGUGGGGCCCUUUCAAACAACUGCCCCCAAAGUAUAAAAAAUAUGUAGUGCAUGAGGAAGGCAGGAGGGAGCCCCCGAAAGUGUGCCUUGCAUAGAAGUGGGAGUAGACUUCCUCGCACAGAGUCCACAGUGCGAAUGGCGCUACGGGGAAGUUCUCGUCGCCGACGGUCGGGGGCGAAGGGAGCUUGGCGUGUCCCUGGAGGGUCAGGGCGAGGGGACCUCUUGUCCCUGCUCUAAGGAACAUUUCCCGGCUGCACGCAAGAGAUGGAGGAAUGCCUCUAUUCCGAAGAGGCAUUCUCUCCCGGGAAAGGGGAGUGCUUCUUCAGAACUGGGCCUUCCUGUGAUGGCCUGGGAUUUGGGCUCGGAGGCUGAACCUGAGGAAUCCCAGCCUGCACAGGAUUCCCCGCCUCCAGAACCAGCUGGGGCCUGAGCCUGAAGGGUCCUCACCUGUGCUGGAUCCUCAGCUGAGUCUGCUCUGGCUCCUGAGGUGAUGGAGGACCCAUUGCCUGCAGGUGCUCCACUCUCAGCCCCGUCAGAGGAAGCUGAGGUUGCCGCUGGGUCCGGUAACCCUCCAGCCUCUCCUGAGCUGCAGAGGCUCAGGGCAGAGAGGCGGAGGGAACUAAGUUCCCACAGGAGGAGGGCUCGCCUCCAGGCCAGGAGAGGCGAGUCACCUGGGGACCGGGGGCGCCCUAUGCCUCAGGGCAGAUAAAAGCCAGCCAGCCCCAAGUUGCAGCAGCAACAUUGUCGCUAGCCAGUUCCUGCCUGCACCCUGUCCUGCUGGAUCUUCUGACCACGCCCAACUCCCUGCCUUGGACCCAGCUUCAGCUUUGACGGACGGCCUCAAUACUGCUCCCUCGACCUCGGACUGGACUCAGACCAUGCCCCGCGGAAACCCACGGGACCAGCACACUUCCUUUUGUGGCCGGACUCUCACAGCCUCAACCUCCCUAGCCAGACGGCAUGGAGGGUGCAAUUCAAUUCAGGAGCUGUCGGAAGGCCCACACACAUCUUAUGGGGGAGCAGGACGGGAUGCCCCCCAAAGCACCCCGGGGUUUCCUUCUCUUCAACCCGCAGCCUCCCUCCUUCCUCGCCUCCCUGAUUGUCGGCAGAGCUGCUCCUCCGACGGGAGCUCGCCUGGGGAGAGUCGGAAAUUGCCUCCGGAGACGCCGCUCGUCCUACAAAGAGACACCUCUCUCCGCACCCCCUAAUUUAGUUCCCAAUUUCGUUUACGGUUCCCGCGGCUUCGCCCUUCCUCCUCCUCCUUUUUGAGAAAAGUUUUCUGCCUUGGAACAAUUGCACAUCCGUCCUCCUCUCUUAAGACAGCCUCUACCCACACGGGGGUGCCAGAAAUAAAUCAGUAAGUGCAGCAGCUGCGGCGGGGUUGCAUAGGUGUGAUUGCUGCAAGGUUCUUGAUCUGUGGUUUUUAUUUGUGUCCGCCGAAAUGCACCCAAACGCCUCAUUAUUAUUAUUAAAAGGCGGGGAGAAUCUGAGCGCAAACCACCUCAAUUUCCCCCUCUUCCGCCAAUUCAGGAGGUGGGGCUAUUCAGGAUUAGAGGCCCUGUUUUCUGGGUUUCAGCUCAGGGGCACAGUGCCUGCAGAAGAUUCCGGGUUCGAUUCCCGACGGCAGCUCCCAGCAGGGCUGGGAAAAGCUUUCCAAAAUACUGGACAGCUGCUGCAAGCCAGUGUAGGCUGCCCAGGGGGCCCAACUCAGUAUAAAGCAGCUUUCUACUUAAACCAACCCUUCACCCAGGACAAUGAGGACUAGAAUAUUGCGAUGUUUUUAGGAGAAGCCAAUAGCUUUGCAUGCAAAAGGUUGCAGGUUCAAUCCCCGGCAAUCUCCAGCUGUAUUUACAUUUUGCCUAUGAAUUCUUUUGGGGGCAGCGGCCAAGCAGGAAACACGGAGGGAAAGGUUAAAGGCCACGGCCUGCCAGGAAAGGGUCAAAUCUUCACCUCUGCGAAGCUUCCGCGUUUACGCCCGAGCCUCUGCUCUGCGGAGAAACUCCCAUUCGCAGCCUGUAGAUUUGUGGCAAAGGAUGGAAGGACUCCAUUGCCCCCAACUUCCCAACAGUCCCCCCCCAGGCAGUAUGGCCUAAUGGUCAGGGCAGACGGGAGUUGCAGUUCAGAGACACAAAGUUGUCCUUUCUGGGGCUGUGAGUGUGAAUCGUUUAGAUCAGUGGGAGGUUGGGGGGCAGAACGUUCCAUCUCCAGCGGCGCCGCCUUGGGAGACGAAGUCAAAGCACACUGCCCCACAGAUCUGGGAUGGGUGCCUGGCCUGUGGUCAGUAAAUAAGGUGCUUUCGUUUAUUUUUUUUUAGAUCCCUCUUCCAUCAGUUGCUGGUCAAUAAACCAGCAGACCUAAAUUAAGUGCUUAAUAAUAAUAAUAAGUAGGUGAACUUCUUUUUAGCAUUUUGGGGUGGGUGUAGAUGGAUCCAGCAGAAUUACAGAAUCAGAGCUAGAAUCCGGGGUGCCAACUUGAAUAAAAUAUUGGGGAAGGGCAAGAAAGUAUAACCGAUCGCACAACUGAUCGCAAGAUGGAACAUUUGGAGGGUGAUGCCCAUCACCUUUUGGGGAGAGGCUGUCCCCUCAGUUUAUUGGUGACCCCAAAGGGACCUCGGCCCCUAGAAGUUGGCUGCUACAGUUAGAAGGGGCCUCUGCAAUGCCAGAAUCUCAACACGCGGUCCCCCAUCCAGUUUGAAACCACACCGGACCCUGCUUAGCUUUGCAAACGUGCUGGCUGCCUAUCAUGCCUGCAGAAUACAUUCUUAACCUGAAAAUGCAUUGACGUUGUCAACGUGGCUAAUAAAUUGUCUUACCUUGACAACGUCAGGCUUUUUAAAACAGCGUUUCCACCCUACAUCUAUUGCUCCCUGGCGAGGAAGGAUCUGCCAACUUCCUUUCCCUCUCUUUCAAAUUUUCCCCCAGUCUUAGAUUCAGUUCUCCGCAAUCCGUAGCAAAUCACCAAAAAAAAAAAAAAAAAGCCCUCGCGAAAAUUCACCGGCAUUUUUCCACGCAAAUUUCUCCCAACGAACACAUUUUUCCACAUGCGGUUUUUGACUGUCGUGCACAUUUUCGCGAGCCGUUCCCCUCCUUGUUUAAUGCAUUAUUUUUUUUUUGCAAAUGUUCUUUGGCCGGAAAACCACCUUGCAAAAUUCAGAUCGAUGCAAAUUUCAAAAAGCGGGUGUGUUUCGGUUUUCCUUUGGGGAGGGCGAAUGUGAUAGCUCUGCAGUUAAAUGUGAACUGAACCAAUUUUUUUAUCCAUCCCUUGGAUUCAACAGCAUGCCAAUUUUCAUGGGUGUAAAUAGGUAUCUACUGCAGAGAGCUGAAUUAGUCCAGGCAGGACUAAUUUGACCCACAGUUCCUGGACUGUAUUCCUUCCAGAAUUUUUUAAUUUCUUGACGUCUCCAAACAAGGAAGGGCGCUCUUAGCUUUUGCAGCCUGAGUAGGUAGUAUUCUGGGAUGUCGGGAAAGACCUCACCGCUCAGAGCUUUCCCGGAAGCCUGCUGCCAUGGAAAUUUCCUCCCCCCCCCCUUUUUAUAAAGCGUUCAAACCGCAGUCACCAUCCCACCUGCUCAACUGAACGAAAGCAAGCGAAAUUGCAGAAAGCCGGCGAGUUAAAAAAGGACGAACUUUUCUCGCGCCCGACGCCCCACGCUCAUAAAGUUCCUUUUUUAAGAAAUGUCCCAUUUUGUGGGGACGAUGGUGGGGUGGGCGAUAUAGGAUGGAAGGAUUCUGGCGUCGGGGAAAAACAGAGUUGGAACCCCAGAGAAGACCCAUCGGAUUUAAUGGGCGCAAAUCAGCCACAACCACACAUCUCCAUAGGUCUGCUGGGAUGGUGAUUCCCCUUUAGGUUCAAAUGUGCCUAAGGCACAAUUCUGCCACUGUUCAUUAAUUCCCCCCGCUGCACCCCCCCGAAAACCCUGCCUUUCCCCCAGGCACCGACAAGAGGUAGCAACAGAUAUGGCUAUCUCUUCUUCCCUACUUUUGAUAUCAACUUUUCAAAACAAAACCCACCUUAAAAAACAUGCCCUCUGCUGUUAAGUGUCAGGGUGCUCAAAGCAGUCUUCAGAGGCGUCUACUGUUCUCUCUCUGCAUGAGUCACUGAACCAGACACGGCUCAUCCUUAGGAAAGAAUUCAAUUCUGCCAAGCCUGGGCUCUGGAUGGAUGACAUCGCCUCACUUCCACCAAGGACAGGCCAGUUGAGAGCAGGGCUGGGGCCCGAUCCAGCGCGUCCCUCUUCCGUUCUCACCAGGCCAAAGCAGUAUUGCAGGCACAGACCAACUCCGCCAACAAGGGACUGGAAGACAGCCAAGCCGGCAGAGAAUUGCUCAGAGGGGCGGCGAGCGCCCUCUUUUGCUCUCAAACGCUGGAGGAAUUAGCUGGCCAGCUUGCAACCCUGACCAUGCAAAGACCUUUCUGUUGAAACAAACAACACUCCCCCAAAAAACCUAGAACCUCACGGUAUUUGCCUGCACCUCACUUCAAAACAUCCACACACCUACGUCUGACCCUCCCUCAAUCUACUCCAGAGACCGAAUGCCGAAUGCAAGGGGAAAUAGAAAGUUGGGGCUGGAAUAAGCUCUCCGGGGAUUUCUUGCAAGCGGGGGCGAGAGGACACCCCCCAAAAAACCCCCAAACCAGUCCUUCUCUCCCACACUUGCCAACUUUGACCUAUUAGAAAGAAGUCAUCAAGAUUUGCAGAAUUCAAGCCCAACUCAUCCAACAGGCAAGGCGAUUUAAUUUCAUUGCUGCUGAUAAUUAAGAGAUUUCCUACAGGGGGCGCCGCAUAUUGGGGAAAAAACCCUCCCCAUUUUUUCAUUUGCAUUCGUAACUGGAAGACGUGGAACCGCAGCCAGGGCAGAAAUCGCCUCUGCCGCCCCAUGUUUUGCACUGACCGAUGGGUUGCGCAGGAUUCAAAUUCUCAUUGUCCGUCUCUCGGGGGUGUGUGUGGGGGGGUGAUGUCUACAGUCUUAGAACACCAGCUUCCCCCCCAAAAAACACACCCACCGGGUAUUUUUGAAGGUGUUUUUUUUGCAACGGUGAUGGUGAAGCAGAACCUCCAGUGGCAGGAGCAAGAGACAGGCUGGUCCCGUUUUUGGGAUCCCCGGGGGGACAUUCUGGGGUGAUAAUGUGGCAAAUGCUGUUGACAAGUUUUUUGGGGGGGUUGCUACAGGCCAGCGAUCCCCGAAGCUCGUAGUUCCCUGUUGGAGGGCAGUGAGAUUCUGGAGGAGGGCAAGGGGGCAGUUGAGGGGCACCGAAAAACCAAUACAGUGGACGCUCGGGUUGCGAACAGGAUCUGUGCAGGAUGCACUUUCGCAACCCGCAGCGUCGCGUCUGCGUGGGUUGCGAUUCGGCGCUUCUGCGCAUGAGCAAAGAGCCAUUUAGUGCUUCUGCGCAUGCGUGACCCCGGAAACCCGGAGGUAACCUGUUCCGGUACUUCCGGGUUUCAGUGGGCCCGUUGCCCGAAAAAAAACGCAGCCUGAAGCGUCUGUAACUCGAGGUGUGACUGUACUGUUCGUUCGCUUUGCUGAGUUAAUGAAACUAAAUAGUUUCGAUUGGAUUUGGCGUAAGUGUGGAAUUACCGUAUUUUUUGCUCUAUAAGACUCACUUUUUCCCUCCUAAAAAGUAAGGGGAAAUGUGUGUGCAUCUUAUGGAGCGAAUGCAGGCUGCGCAGCUAUCCCAGAAGCCAGAACAGCAAGAGGGAUCGCUGCUUUCACUGUGCAGCGAUCCCUCUUGCUGUUCUGGCUUCUGAGAUUCAGAAUAUUUUUUUCCUUGUUUUCCUCCUCCAAAAACUAGGUGCGUCUUGUGGUCUGGUGCGUCUUAUAGAGCGAAAAUUACGGUAAUCGCGACCGUUUUGAAUUUUAUUCUGUUGUUACGCUCCUGCAAAUCGCUUAUUCGAAUGCUUUUUUUAUAGGGCAGGCACUGGAGAUGAGCUUAUUAUGGGAUGAAAGGGGCGGCCUCCUGGAAAAAGUUUGGUCUAGACAGACCCUGGGUCUCAUCCGGGCACAGAGACCCCCAACUUUCUUUCGGAGAAAUGGCAAGAGCUGUUAAGACAGGGGAACGGCCUCGGAACAGACUCUUCUUCCUUGUAGGGUAUUUUAAUCAAAGUUGCGUGGAAAGUUUUUGACGUUUUAUAGUGUUUUUAAUAUUUUGUUUCGAGCCGUCCGCAGGGGCUGGGGCAACCCAGCCAGAUGGGGCAUCGUGCAAAUUAUAAAAUUAUUAUUACUAUUACUAUUAUUAUUAUUAGCUGCGAUCCCUGCCUUGCAGGGGCUGGAAUAGAGGACCUUUGAGGUCCCCUUUCCAACUGUACAAUACUAUGAUUUGUUGAGGCCCAGCCAGUGCAAAUAGGACUUAAGGGGAAACAGCUAACAGCCUCUUAUGUCUUGGGGUUCGUUUGUAUUUUUUAAAGACACGCUGGACUCUGACUUGGUGAGACUCCCAGCACAAAGGUUCCUUAACCGCCUCUGCGAAAUCAAUCGCUUUGAAAUGUGUGACGACCUCCCCCCCCAAAAAAAUGGACUGCUGGCAAUCAAAGGAGUCCCAGCAUAGCUCUGUACAUGCUACAAGCGCCCAAAGCGAGCUCCGCCGGCAGACCGCGAGACGUCGAAUCUCAGGGUUGUGGAUUCGAGUCCUGCGCUACGGGGGGCUGGGCUGGAUGACCUCGUGGGGUCCCUUUUGACUCAAUGAUCCCAGGAGUUAAGAGGGGGCCGUGUGGCCCGCGAGCGGUUCGAGAGCGGUCCCGAUUCACCCCCUUGUCGACGCCACGGUUGCCUCCGCUUAAACAGGCGAGGCGGGUUGUGGGAACGGCACAAAGCCGCCAAACCUUUUGAGUCGAAGAGGUGGGGUUGGGCGCGCGUGACCCUCUCUGGCCCUCUCCUUCCACCCAGGGGCAUUUAUGGGGUGCGGCAACCCUCUAUAGGGACAAAGGAGCGUGUGCGUUUGCUCACGGGGAGAAGAGGCACCCAUGCCAAUUCGAACCCGUGCGCACGAAACGCGCCCCAUCUUUUUGCACAAGCCCAGAACACCGAACCCCCUCAAAGCCAUCUCGGCCACCCGGCAGCCUCUUUCAGAAACUUCGGGAUCAACACAAAAAGGAAAGAAUUAAAAAACAACAACCGAAAACCCUCGCUUCACUUCCUCCAUUGCAAUUUGCCCUCGCGCGACCCCGUCCGUAAUGC
Non-coding RNA from Podarcis lilfordi (Lilford's wall lizard), 10930 nucleotides. The record is from the annotation of a GenBank genome assembly. NCBI's taxonomy places the organism in Eukaryota, Metazoa, Chordata, Lepidosauria, Squamata, Lacertidae.